ACACCCGAUACCAUCCCGAACUCGGAAGUUAAGCACCGAAGCGCCAAUGGUACUGCGUCUUAAGACGUGGGAGAGUAGGUCACCGCCAAAC
Molecule: ribosomal RNA, 91 nt
Filed under: Thalassobius sp. Cn5-15
Lineage: Bacteria; Pseudomonadati; Pseudomonadota; Alphaproteobacteria; Rhodobacterales; Roseobacteraceae
Source: RNAcentral